GGUGCAUUCGUCUAGUGGUCCAGGACGCCGCCCUCUCACGGCGGAAACUCGGGUUCGACCCCCGGACGCACUACUA
RNAcentral lists this transfer RNA (76 nucleotides) under Parabacteroides acidifaciens. RNAcentral's name for it is "Parabacteroides sp. 426-9 tRNA-Glu". It matches the Rfam family "tRNA". From Rfam's summary of the family: Transfer RNA (tRNA) molecules are approximately 80 nucleotides in length. Their secondary structure includes four short double-helical elements and three loops (D, anti-codon, and T loops). Lineage: Bacteria; Pseudomonadati; Bacteroidota; Bacteroidia; Bacteroidales; Tannerellaceae. RNAcentral also lists the same sequence under 2 other names. The record is from RNAcentral.